Molecule: ribosomal RNA, 549 nt
Filed under: uncultured bacterium
Lineage: Bacteria
Description: bacterial SSU rRNA
Rfam family: Bacterial small subunit ribosomal RNA
Source: RNAcentral
AGGGAAUCUUCGGCAAUGGGGGCAACCCUGACCGAGCAACGCCGCGUGAGUGAAGAAGGUUUUCGGAUCGUAAAGCUCUGUUGUAAGUCAAGAACGAGUGUGAGAGUGGAAAGUUCACACUGUGACGGUAGCUUACCAGAAAGGGACGGCUAACUACGUGCCAGCAGCCGCGGUAAUACGUAGGUCCCGAGCGUUGUCCGGAUUUAUUGGGCGUAAAGCGAGCGCAGGCGGUUUGAUAAGUCUGAAGUUAAAGGCUGUGGCUCAACCAUAGUUCGCUUUGGAAACUGUCAAACUUGAGUGCAGAAGGGGAGAGUGGAAUUCCAUGUGUAGCGGUGAAAUGCGUAGAUAUUAGGAGGAACACCAGUGGCGAAAGCGGCUUUCUGGACGAAAACUGACGCUGAGGCGCGAAAGCCAGGGGAGCGAACGGGAUUAGAUACCCCGGUAGUCCUGGCCGUAAACGAUGGGUACUAGGUGUAGGAGGUAUCGACCCCUUCUGUGCCGGAGUUAACGCAAUAAGUACCCCGCCUGGGGAGUACGGCCGCAAGGUUG